GUUAUCACCUAUUUUACAGAUGAGAAAAGAUGAGGCUCAGAGGUUGAGUCAAGAUCACACUUGCACACACCUGCAUUGUGACUGCAUUCAUCAUACAAAUGUCAGACUUUAGGCUCCCUGGGCAGUGAUGCAUCGUGCCCCCCACUUCAGCCACAACUGCCACUACUACCAGAGUGGGGGUGAUUCCAGCUCUGUGUCUAACUGGGCUCCCUCCCUGCAUCUUCUCUCUUCAAUUCUGACCCUUAAAGCCAGGAGGGUUAGUGUCCUUCAAAGUGAGGGGCAGGCAGGAACACAGGAGAGAAGGAAACUUGCCUUUCAGAUUAAGUGCCUCACUGGAAGGCAUAGCUCAGCAGAUCACAGACUGCUUAGAUAGCCCAGGAGAGUGGGACUCGCUCUCUGGGGCAGCAGUCUCCCUGAAGGCCUUCCUUCCACUUAUGGGAGCAAGCCUGAUCACACACUGUGGGAUGGUGUGGCCUCACGGAGUACAUGUCCACCUUAAAUUUCUGUGCUUCCUGGAGGAGCAGGUCUGAAAGGAGAGGCAGGCUGGAGGGAGGGGCC
RNAcentral lists this long non-coding RNA (558 nucleotides) under Marmota monax (woodchuck). Lineage: Eukaryota; Metazoa; Chordata; Mammalia; Rodentia; Sciuridae. The record is from RNAcentral.